This 332-nucleotide ribosomal RNA is filed under the name uncultured bacterium. RNAcentral's name for it is "bacterial SSU rRNA". It matches the Rfam family "Bacterial small subunit ribosomal RNA", at positions 568 to 898 of the family's 1533-position model. The record is from RNAcentral.
UGCGCAGGCGGCCAGGUGUGUGAGGCGUGAAAGCCCGGAGCUCAACUCCGGAAUUGCACCUCAAACUACAUGGCUAGAGCAUUGGAGAGGGUAGCAGAAUUCACGGUGUAGCAGUGAAAUGCGUAGAUAUCGUGAGGAAUACCAGAGGCGAAGGCGGCUACCUGGACAAUUGCUGACGCUCAGGCACGAAAGCGUGGGGAGCAAAAGGGAUUAGAUACCCCUGUAGUCCACGCCCUAAACGGUGCACACUAGGUCUUGGCGGAUUCGACCCCCCCAGGGCCCAAGCUAACGCGUUAAGUGUGCCGCCUGAGGACUACGGCCGCAAGGCUAAA